RNAcentral lists this transfer RNA (70 nucleotides) under Candidatus Woesearchaeota archaeon. Its description in RNAcentral is "tRNA-Phe". It matches the Rfam family "tRNA". Rfam says of the family: Transfer RNA (tRNA) molecules are approximately 80 nucleotides in length. Their secondary structure includes four short double-helical elements and three loops (D, anti-codon, and T loops). The record is from RNAcentral. Lineage: Archaea; Nanobdellati; Candidatus Woesearchaeota.
CGGUAGCUCAGCCUGGGAGAGCACCACGCUGAAGACGUGGGUGUCCGGGAUUCAAAUUCCCGCCGACCCA